GAUGAACGCUGGCGGCGUGCUUAACACAUGCAAGUCGAACGAAACACCUUAUUUGAUUUUCUUCGGAACUGAAGAUUUGGUGAUUGAGUGGCGGACGGGUGAGUAACGCGUGGGUAACCUGCCCUGUACAGGGGGAUAACAGUCAGAAAUGACUGCUAAUACCGCAUAAGACCACAGCACCGCAUGGUGCAGGGGUAAAAACUCCGGUGGUACAGGAUGGACCCGCGUCUGAUUAGCUGGUUGGUGAGGUAACGGCUCACCAAGGCGACGAUCAGUAGCCGGCUUGAGAGGGUGAACGGCCACAUUGGGACUGAGACACGGCCCAAACUCCUACGGGAGGCAGCAGUGGGGAAUAUUGCACAAUGGGGGAAACCCUGAUGCAGCGACGCCGCGUGAGUGAAGAAGUAUCUCGGUAUGUAAAGCUCUAUCAGCAGGGAAGA
RNAcentral lists this ribosomal RNA (440 nucleotides) under uncultured bacterium. Its description in RNAcentral is "bacterial SSU rRNA". It matches the Rfam family "Bacterial small subunit ribosomal RNA", at positions 28 to 448 of the family's 1533-position model. The record is from RNAcentral.